RNAcentral lists this ribosomal RNA (467 nucleotides) under uncultured bacterium. RNAcentral describes it as "partial 16S ribosomal RNA". It matches the Rfam family "Bacterial small subunit ribosomal RNA", at positions 28 to 507 of the family's 1533-position model. The record is from RNAcentral.
GAUGAACGCUGGCGGCGCGCCUAACACAUGCAAGUCGAACGAAUAAAGCACCUUCGGGUGUGUAUCACGUGUCGCACGCCUGUGUAACACGUGUGCAACCUGCCCCUUUCAUUUCGAUAGACACGUGAGACCGUGGAUCAUAUCGCAGACUUCGACACUUCCGCAUGGAAGACUCGGAAAAGCUGCGGCGGUGGGGGAUGGUCCCGCGGCCUGUUAGUUUGUUGGUGGGGUAACGGUCUCACAAGGUAAUGAUGGGUAGCUGGGUUGAGGGAGCGACCAGCCAGAUUGGGACUGGGGCACGGGCCAGACCCCUUCGGGGGGGAGCAGGUGGGAAUCAUUCACAAAGGGCGAAAGGCUGAUGCAGGGACGCCGGGUGCGGGAUGAAGGCCUUUGGGGUGGAAACCGCUUUCAGCAGGGACGGGGCGAAAGGGACGGGACCUGCAGGAGGAGCCACGGCUAACUUCGUU